GACCACACCCAUAUUAAAUGCUCUAGGAAAGGCUUGAUAUAAAGAUUUUGAGAAAGAUUUCAACAAUUCCCUACAUUAUUAUACUCAGACUCCUUUUUGCUGGGUUAAUCCUUUGUUUUGGGCUGGUUGUUGAAGAAGUCUGGAUCCAUGGGAAUGUGACUCCUACAAAUUCUUAAUAAAGUGGCUAAGAGGAAGAUAUGGUCUGUCACUGUGCCUGUGGUGGGUGCAGACAUUGAAAUGUCUUUGGUGGAGAUCAUCAUUCAUUACUAACUCAAUUUCUAACAGUAAGAACUACAAGCCAUCUUUUUCAGAGGCUAUUGGUAGUAUGGCAUGGUUAUGUCCACUAAUGUGGUGCGCCCAUCUCUCCACCAUCAGUGGAUGUGGUUAUAUGACUAUUUUGUUUCUCUCUCUCUCUCUCCAUCUUUCCCCUGUGUUGAUUUAUUUGUUUUUUUCUCUCAAUCCUCUGGAUUUUCCUUUUUUCAUUGUCUUUUUUGUGUUAUUUUGUUUUAACAUUGUUAGUAUGAUUAUUAAUAA
Molecule: long non-coding RNA, 534 nt
Organism: Amphimedon queenslandica
Lineage: Eukaryota; Metazoa; Porifera; Demospongiae; Haplosclerida; Niphatidae
Exons: 3
Source: RefSeq, a predicted model, not a curated record